AGAACGAACGCUGGCGGCAGGCUUAACACAUGCAAGUCGAACGCUCGUAGCAAUACGGGAGUGGCAGACGGGUGAGUAACGCGUGGGAACAUACCCUCCGGUUCGGAAUAGCUCAGGGAAACUUGGAUUAAUACCGGAUACGGCUGAGAGGCGAAAGAUUUAUCGCCGGAGGAUUGGCCCGCGUUCGAUUAGCUUGUUGGUGAGGUAACGGCUCACCAAGGCGAUGAUCGAUAGCUGGUCUGAGAGGAUGAUCAGCCACAUUGGGACUGAGACACGGCCCAAACUCCUACGGGAGGCAGCAGUGGGGAAUAUUGGACAAUGGGCGCAAGCCUGAUCCAGCCAUGCCGCGUGAGUGAUGACGGCCUUAGGGUUGUAAAGCUCUUUCGCUCGGGACGAUAAUGACGGUACCGAGAUAAGAGCCCGGCUAACUUCGCGCCAGCAGCCGC
This 446-nucleotide ribosomal RNA is filed under the name uncultured bacterium. RNAcentral describes it as "SSU rRNA". It matches the Rfam family "Bacterial small subunit ribosomal RNA", at positions 26 to 518 of the family's 1533-position model. The record is from RNAcentral.